This 372-nucleotide ribosomal RNA is filed under the name Clostridioides difficile. RNAcentral's name for it is "bacterial LSU rRNA". It matches the Rfam family "Bacterial large subunit ribosomal RNA", at positions 268 to 644 of the family's 2925-position model. The record is from RNAcentral. Lineage: Bacteria; Bacillati; Bacillota; Clostridia; Peptostreptococcales; Peptostreptococcaceae.
CCCAAACCAAUAAAGUUUUCUUUAUUGGGGUUGCGGACAUAUCAUAACGAAGAGGUAUCGUAAUUGAAGAGGUUUGGAAAGACCAACCACAGAAGGUAAUAGUCCUGUAUGUUAAACGAGAAGACUUCAGAUAUGAUCCAGAGUACCACGGGACACGUGAAACCCGGUGGGAAGCAGGAGGGACCACCCUCCAAGGCUAAAUACUACCUAGUGACCGAUAGCGUAUAGUACCGUGAGGGAAAGGUGAAAAGAACCCCGGGAGGGGAGUGAAAUAGAACCUGAAACCCUGCACUUACAAGCUGUGGAAGCACAUUUCUUGUGUGACCGCGUACUUUUUGUAGAACGGGCCAACGAGUUACGUUAAGUAGCAAG